Betta splendens (Siamese fighting fish) is the source of this 2912-nucleotide long non-coding RNA. Ensembl lists it as uncharacterized. The record is from Ensembl. Lineage: Eukaryota; Metazoa; Chordata; Actinopteri; Anabantiformes; Osphronemidae.
GCCAGAAUAAGUAUCAAAACAGCCAGGAUGCCAACCUGGCUCUUGAGCAAUGUAACUGUAGGAAAUGUCUUUGUUGCCCCACCUACAACUAAACUAGAUCAAGUAGCAGCUUGACAUGUUCAAGCAAAUAGCACUGGAAGAAAAGAACUGUGUGUGUGUACGGCAUUGGGUGUAAAACCGUAGGAAUGCAAGUGGCAAAUUGUCUUCAUUCUUCUACUUGAGGGCAGAUGGCACCUGGCAUUUACACAUCAGCAGGCGCUUGUUUAUUAGCAGCACUGAAAGCCCUGAAAGCGACACUUUCUAGGAAUAAGUGUCGAGCUAUUCAGCUGCUUGCUCUGAUUCUGUCUGUUUUCAGCCUGCGAUCUAUUUAGAUUACGUUGAGCUAACAAGGGGCUUACGUUCCUUCACCAAAACGUUUGCUAUAUGAAGCAACGCUCAACAAUCUUUCAGGGAGAAGAGGGGGAAUUUUAGGAAAAACAUUGAAGCUUUAAACAUUUUAUUAUAAGCAGAUAUUACAGAAUCUGUGGUUUCAUAAACACCCAAUGGGUAGGCCCAAUUAAUAUCCAAAAUGUCCAUUAAAUAAAAUAAACAAAUAUAGUUUCCAAUAACUUCUUUAGCUAUGAAUUUUCUACAUGUAGAAAAAUAGCAAAAUAGUUCGUUUUCACAAUUAUCGAUCUUUCCCUCAACUUCCCCCUUAACUACGGACCCCGGGGCUAAAAUCGGACGCCAACUUCACCCUCGCAACUAGCAACUCACCGUAGCGUUAGCAGCAUGACCCCGGCCGUGAGUCCUCCUCCGCAGCAGCAGCCGCCUCCCUCCGUCGUGGCCCACAAGGUGCAGCUGACCCACAAACUGUUUGAGCUGGAAAAGGCCCGAGAUGCGCUGGAACGAGACCUUCGUGCCUUCACCAACAAGGCCUAUGAAGACGUCCAAAGCUUCUUGAAUUCGUCUUUUCCAACCAUUGUGUUCAAUGAACUAUUGAGCGCUUUGGACAUGAAAUGUCAAACUGUUGACAGAUUGUCAUCGAUACUAAUGGGCCGAACUGUUGAGCCACAAGUCCGGCCCACUGUCAAAAACGGAGAGCGAGGCAACCAAUCACAGCCAGUCAGACACAAAGGGAGACUCAAGACAGAUGUUCUCAAGUUUGGGCCCAUGUUGCAAAAUGUGCUCAUGGUGAGCUCCAUAUCGAAAGCAGUCCAGGUGCUUGGAGCCACGCUGUCCCUUCGGCUGUUAAAACAUUUCCUCAUCUCCCCGUCUGCAGCGAUCCAGGAUGAUGACAUGAUGUGCAGCAUCCCGUCCAGCUACGGCGGAGCCGCUCAGACUACGAGCUUGUCCUGUCAUUUAGGGGCUGGGGGAGAAGAACAAGCUGCGAGGCUCGAGGAGAAAUGCCAAGAGAAUGAUGUGAUUCUGUCACCUGCCAUUAUUCAGAGUGCAGGGAUUGAAGCAGAGGAGCCACCGCCGCUGCUCCUCCCCGCACAAGCUGUAUUCCCAGGGGUCAGUAACCCUAAACCCAUGAAAGUGGACCCACUAAGUAGCUGGAGAAAGGGGGAUGAUGCUGUGGUGCAACACCAAGAACAAGCAUCCACCCAAAUGAUGCAUUUCCUCAGAACCGAAGCUAAAACCUUAAAGUGCACUAAAAGCGUGAAUACUUCAAGUCCUUCGCGGCAAACCUCACCUAACAUGGAAGCACAAAAGUGCCAAUUGAGUCGUGCUGUGACCGAUGAUCUGGGCGACUCACCGCCGCCAAAAGCUUUGUGUGCAGACUUUGAAAACCAAGCCCCUGUUUUCAAAGUAAAACGGGUGGAGUCAAGUGGCUCCUUGACCUACAGCUCUGUGAUCGCAACAAAGACUGAAUUGUGGGACGUCGGCGACAUCUUCACAGAGGUGGCGCGGGUGGAGCGUGGCGACAGCCUCCUGGAGAAACCGCGCGGCCGGAAUCCAACGUCCGACUCCUGCGCAGGCGUCCAAUGCGAGACCCAAAGUCCCCGAAGCGACGCGCUCGGACCUCCGGCUCAAAUGGGCGCCGGGAACAGGACGAACAUCCCAGAGUUUGAAAUCAAAAAGUUUCAAGAGACGGAAGUGAUGGUGUCUCAUGUCAUCAGCCCAGGCAGCUUCUACAUCCAGCCUGCAGACUGCAUCCCGAAGCUGCAGAGCCUCAUCACGGGCAGCAGCAGCAGCAGCUGGAAAGCCACUAGUUCAUAUGCCUCGCAGAACAACAUUCCAGACAUUGGAACCCAAGUCAUGGCUUGGUUCCCUGAGCAAGAACAAUGGUGCCGGGCUCAGGUGACCAAGAUAUGUGGCGUAAGUAGAGGUUUUGAUGCCGAUGGAGGUGGUCCGUCCAUCAGUGUAGAGGUGAAGAGGCUGGACUUUGGUGACACCGCUUGUCUGUCACUGGUAGAUAUUAAGGAGCUGACGCCAGACAUGGCCGUCCUUCCACUUCAAUGUGUACAGGUCUCACUAGCAAACGUGACGCCUGCGAAUGGGACACACUGGUCUGAGGAGGCAGUGUGUUGGUUCAAAGAGAUGGUCAGCCACAGGACGCUCUAUGCCAGAAUUUACCCACAAGGGCCCAGAGUUACAGUUGAGCUGUUCUUGGAGAAAGGAAAGCUUGGAGCCAUGAGGCGGGGCGCGCCGCUGUCACUGAGGCUGGCCGAGAACGGACACGCUACACACAGCAAGCUCAAGAACACUGGUCUGAGAGCUGUUCAACUCAAAGCAAGAGGACGCUACUCUGACUGGGAGAAACACCUCAUCUCCUGCUAUACAUACCAUAAGAAGCAUUUUGUGUAGUUUGUAUCUUCCCUGACAAAUGUAGUGGUUCCAUGUCUGUUUCUUGGGAUCCACAUCAAGAUUGAACCGAGGGAACCUUGAUCCUUACUGACAAACAGCUACAAAACCCCAUGUUAGACACA